This is a long non-coding RNA of Etheostoma spectabile (orangethroat darter), 143 nucleotides long. RefSeq lists it as uncharacterized. The record is from RefSeq and is a predicted model, not a curated record. The transcript has 3 exons. Lineage: Eukaryota; Metazoa; Chordata; Actinopteri; Perciformes; Percidae.
UGAGGGCACAGAUGUUAGCCCCAGAUGCAUGCAAACUUUAAACCCUGUAGCUAAAAAUCAUAUUACGGCACAACGGAAAGAAAGCUUCAUGAAUCUUCAUCCAAACUACAUCAAUAAACAUGAUUAAAUUAAUUGUGAACAUG